This 389-nucleotide long non-coding RNA is filed under the name Bos taurus (domestic cattle). RNAcentral's name for it is "long non-coding RNA NONBTAT007517". Lineage: Eukaryota; Metazoa; Chordata; Mammalia; Artiodactyla; Bovidae. The record is from RNAcentral.
UGUCCCCCUAUUCAGUUUGCCUCAUUUUUUUCUUUUUCAUAAAGAAUCAAAAUGCCUCAUUUAGUUUUUUCUUUUCCUCUUGUGAAAGUUACAGAAAAUGUUUUUUAAAGGAGUGCAGUGUUUCUGGCCUCCUCAUCACCUAGCAAGGCAGCCUCUUAAACAGGACUCUCUUCUAGUCUAUAGCCAGGCACUGUUAAGUGCUUCUUGGAUAGAGAUAAGGAAUAAACUUAUUCUACCAUCAUGAGUCCUAAUUAGCAGAGCCUACAUUGCUUCCUUUUACCCAUGCCUCCAGCUUAUGUAUCCUUUGCUUCACAUGAUCUCUUGUCUAGAAGAGUUCAGGCCCUAGGUUCUGAGAGAACUGUGUAUAUAAAUUUGGGUAGUAGCUACAA